RNAcentral lists this small RNA (27 nucleotides) under Bombyx mori (domestic silkworm). Its description in RNAcentral is "ovarian small RNA-22197". Lineage: Eukaryota; Metazoa; Arthropoda; Insecta; Lepidoptera; Bombycidae. The record is from RNAcentral.
UAGCAAACUACACUCAGACCCGGGAGA